Molecule: ribosomal RNA, 758 nt
Filed under: uncultured bacterium
Lineage: Bacteria
Description: bacterial SSU rRNA
Rfam family: Bacterial small subunit ribosomal RNA
Source: RNAcentral
ACGCCGCGUGCUCGAAGAAACCCUUCGGGGCGUAAAGAGCUUUUCUCUGGGAGGAACCUUCGGGUGACAGUACCAGAGGAAUAAGGGGAUCCUAAUUCUGUGCCAGCAGGAGCGGUAAUACAGAAUCCCCAAGCGUUAUCCGGAUUUAUUGGGCGUAAAGCGUUCGUAGGCGUCCUGUUAGGUUUCUUGUUAAAUUUCUAGCGCUCAACGUUAGAAUCGCAAGAAAAACCGACAGGAUAGAGGACGUCAGGGGCUGAUGGAACUGUCGGUGUAGGGGUGAAAUCCGUUGAUAUCGACGGGAACACCAAAAGCGAAGGCAUUCAGCUGGGGCGAUCCUGACGCUGAGGAACGAAAGCGUGGGUAUGGAAAAGGAUUAGAUACCCUUGUACUCCACGCUGUAAACGAUGGACACUAGCUAUUUAAAGUGUCGACCCUUUAAGUGGCGAAGCUAACGCGUUAAGUGUCCCGCCUGGGAAGUACGGCCGCAAGGCUAAAACUCAAAGGAAUAGACGGGGACUCACACAAGCGGUGGACCAUGUGGCUUAAUUCGACGACAAACGAAGAACCUUACCAGGACUUGACAUCCCGCCGAAAUUCUGAUGAAAAUCAGAACUACCUACAAGGACGACGGGACAGGUGCUGCAUGGUUGUCGUCAGCAUGUGUCAUGAGACGCUCCCUUAAAUGGGGGAACAUGCGCAACCCUUGCCCUAUGUUUUAUAUGUCAUAGGGGACUGCCUGAGACAAUCAGGAGGAAGGU